GGGCGGUUAGCUCAGUCGGUUAGAGCACCUGCUUUACACGCAGGGGGUCAGAGGUUCAAGUCCUCUACCGCCCACCA
Molecule: transfer RNA, 77 nt
Filed under: Dehalococcoidales bacterium
Lineage: Bacteria; Bacillati; Chloroflexota; Dehalococcoidia; Dehalococcoidales
Also listed under: 2 other names
Description: tRNA-Val
Rfam family: tRNA
About the family: Transfer RNA (tRNA) molecules are approximately 80 nucleotides in length. Their secondary structure includes four short double-helical elements and three loops (D, anti-codon, and T loops).
Source: RNAcentral